Molecule: unclassified non-coding RNA, 355 nt
Filed under: soil metagenome
Description: partial contains 5.8S ribosomal RNA, internal transcribed spacer 2, and large subunit ribosomal RNA
Rfam family: 5.8S ribosomal RNA (bases 1-120)
Source: RNAcentral
GAUGAAGAACGUAGUGAAAUGCGAUAAGUAAUGUGAAUUGCAGAAUUCAGUGAAUCAUCGAAUCUUUGAACGCACAUUGCGCCCAUUAGUAUUCUAGUGGGCAUGCCUGUUCGAGCGUCAUUAAGUCCACUUAAGCCCUGCUUAGUGUUGGGAGACUGCUCCAGCGGUGCUACCCUGUAGCUACCCUGCAGCUCCUCAAAGACAGCGGCGGAGUUGUGGUAUCCUCUGAGCUUAGUAACUUGUUCUAGCUUUCGAGUACACCACGUCCCCUGCCGUAAAACCCUUAAUUUUUAAUGGUUGACCUCGGAUCAGGUAGGAAUACCCGCUGAACUUAAGCAUAUCAAUAAGCGGAGGA